UACGUAGGGGGCAAGCGUUGUCCGGAAUCAUUGGGCGUAAAGCGCGUGUAGGCGGCUCAGUAAGUCCGCUCUGAAAGCCCGGGGCUUAACCCCGGGAGGCGGGUGGAUACUGCUGAGCUUGAGUCCGGAAGAGGCGAGUGGAAUUCCCGGUGUAGCGGUGAAAUGCGCAGAUAUCGGGAGGAGCACCAAUGGCGAAGGCAGCUCGCUGGGACGUGACUGACGCUGAGACGCGAAAGCGUGGGGAGCAAACAGG
This 253-nucleotide ribosomal RNA is filed under the name uncultured bacterium. Its description in RNAcentral is "partial 16S ribosomal RNA". It matches the Rfam family "Bacterial small subunit ribosomal RNA", at positions 524 to 776 of the family's 1533-position model. The record is from RNAcentral.